RNAcentral lists this ribosomal RNA (492 nucleotides) under uncultured bacterium. Its description in RNAcentral is "partial 16S ribosomal RNA". It matches the Rfam family "Bacterial small subunit ribosomal RNA", at positions 29 to 507 of the family's 1533-position model. The record is from RNAcentral.
AGUGAACGCUGGCGGUAGGCCUAACACAUGCAAGUCGAACGGCAGCACAGUAAGAGCUUGCUCUUACGGGUGGCGAGUGGCGGACGGGUGAGGAAUACAUCGGAAUCUACUUUUUCGUGGGGGAUAACGUAGGGAAAUUUACGCUAAUACCGCAUACGACCUACGGGUGAAAGCAGGGGAUCUUCGGACCUUGCGCGAUUGAAUGAGCCGAUGUCGGAUUAGCUAGUUGGCGGGGUAAAGGCCCACCAAGGCGACGAUCCGUAGCUGGUCUGAGAGGAUGAUCAGCCACACUGGAACUGAGACACGGUCCAGACUCCUACGGGAGGCAGCAGUGGGGAAUAUUGGACAAUGGGCGCAAGCCUGAUCCAGCCAUACCGCGUGGGUGAAGAAGGCCUUCGGGUUGUAAAGCCCUUUUGUUGGGAAAGAAAAGCAGCAGGUUAAUACCCCGCUGUUCUGACGGUACCCAAAGAAUAAGUACCGGCUAACUUCGUG